GCCCCUUUAGCACAGUGGUAGUGCGUCGCACUUGUAGGAACGCUUACGUAAGCAAUGCGAAGGUCGGUUGUUCAAUCCAGCCAGGGGGCA
Paramarasmius palmivorus is the source of this 90-nucleotide non-coding RNA. NCBI's taxonomy places the organism in Eukaryota, Fungi, Basidiomycota, Agaricomycetes, Agaricales, Marasmiaceae. The record is from the annotation of a GenBank genome assembly.